GGAAAAGUAAAUAUUGUUGGUUUAACAGUUAAAUUUAUAUAUUCCAUUAAUUUUAAAAUUUUUAGGUGAAAUUUUAAUUUUAUUUUAAGAGGUUUAUUUGAAACUGUGAAAUUUAUUUUAAAAACAAGGAUUAGAUACCCUUUUAUUUUAAAUGUAAAUAUUAACCUGGGUAGUAAUAGUUAUGAUCUUGAAACCCAAAGAAUUUGGCGGUAUUUUAUUCUUUUUAGAGGAACCUGUCCUGUAAUUGAUAAUCCACGAUAGAUAUUUACUUGUUCUUGUAUUCAUUUUGUAUACCUCCGUCAUCAGAGUAUCUUUUUAGAGAGAAUAUUCAGUUAAUACAAAAUAUUAUAUGUCAGGUCAAGGUGCAAUUUAUGGAUAAGUAGAGAUGGGUUACAAUAAAUAUAUUUAUACGAAUUAAUAUUAAUAUUAAUAUUAUGAAGGUGGAUUUAAAAGUAAAAUUAUUUCUUUGAUAUUUUGAUUUUAGCUCUAAAAUAUGCACACAUCGCCCGUCACUCUUAUUUUAAAAUAAGAUAAGUCGUAACAUAGUAGGUGUACUGGAAGGUGUACCUAGAAAGGUAU
RNAcentral lists this ribosomal RNA (579 nucleotides) under Agrionoptera insignis. RNAcentral's name for it is "partial 12S ribosomal RNA". Lineage: Eukaryota; Metazoa; Arthropoda; Insecta; Odonata; Libellulidae. The record is from RNAcentral.